CACGACGUUGUAAAACGACGGCUGUAACUAUAACGGUCUUAAGGUAGCAAAUUUCCUGGUCGUCCUAAUAACGACCUGCAUGAAACAUAGAACGAUUCGAUAGCUGUCUUGCACACACAUCAUGGUAAAAUAUUCAUCAGUACAAAUAAUAUGCUGCCGAAGUCGAGUGACACUAAAGGACAAAAAGACCCUCUGAAGCUUUAUAGGGAUAAAACUUGGGUAACAUCGCGAUCUAAAUUAUCUUAUAAAUGCUACCUUACAUAGAAUCGGGAGUACGGCAGACGUUAUUCUCCCAGCUAAAGUGGUGGAGAUCGCAGUUAUUUUAUCAACAAAGGGAUCACGAUAUAAAUGGUAGACGUUAUUCUAUAGACCACUGUUUAAUUGGGGCGAUAACCUUAUCCACAGCCACCUAAGGUGAACAAAGCGAUACAAGGAUCCUAAAUACUAAUUUGACCAACUAAUAAGUGCAAAGAUACAUGUUUCGCUUAAUGGCCCAACAAGUCCUUCCCAGUACUUAAAUGCUAUCUUAAUGAGCUUUAAAUUAAUCUACCCGAGUGAAGCUACUCUACGGAUAACAGGCUUAAUUUCCGCAAUACCCAAGGUCACAUUAUCAAGAAAAAUGCACAUCGAUGUCGGCUUAUCAUCCCAAAAUAGGUAGCUAAAUAAUUGGUGGGAGUGCUCAUCCCGUAAA
RNAcentral lists this ribosomal RNA (691 nucleotides) under Symbiodinium sp. clade F. RNAcentral's name for it is "partial 23S ribosomal RNA". It matches the Rfam family "Bacterial large subunit ribosomal RNA", at positions 1914 to 2592 of the family's 2925-position model. Lineage: Eukaryota; Dinophyceae; Suessiales; Symbiodiniaceae. The record is from RNAcentral.